CCUACGGGAGACAGCAGUAGGGAAUAUUGCUCAAUGGGGGAAACCCUGAAGCAGCAACGCCGCGUGGAGGAUGAAGGUUUUCGGAUUGUAAACUCCUUUUGUUAGAGAAGAUAAUGACGGUAUCUAACGAAUAAGCACCGGCUAACUCCGUGCCAGCAGCCGCGGUAAUACGGAGGGUGCAAGCGUUACUCGGAAUCACUGGGCGUAAAGCGCGCGUAGGCGGGAUAGCAAGUCAGAUGUGAAAUCCUAUGGCUUAACCAUAGAACUGCAUUUGAAACCGUUAUUCUAGAGUAUGGGAGAGGUAGGUGGAAUUCUUGGUGUAGGGGUAAAAUCCGUAGAGAUCAAGAGGAAUACUCAUUGCGAAGGCGACCUGCUAGAACAUAACUGACGCUGAUGCGCGAAAGCGUGGGGAGCAAACAGGAUUAGAUACCCCGGUAGUC
RNAcentral lists this ribosomal RNA (440 nucleotides) under uncultured bacterium. Its description in RNAcentral is "partial 16S ribosomal RNA". It matches the Rfam family "Bacterial small subunit ribosomal RNA", at positions 338 to 795 of the family's 1533-position model. The record is from RNAcentral.